RNAcentral lists this ribosomal RNA (39 nucleotides) under Rosa hybrid cultivar. RNAcentral's name for it is "partial 26S ribosomal RNA". Lineage: Eukaryota; Viridiplantae; Streptophyta; Magnoliopsida; Rosales; Rosaceae. The record is from RNAcentral.
CACGACCCCAGGUCAGGCUGUGUUACCCGCCUAAUUUAU